GCAGAUGUACCCAAGAGGUCGCACGGGGACGCACUUGAAAUGCGAUAGGCUGUAAAAGGCACAGGAGUUCGAAUCUCCUCAUCUGCG
RNAcentral lists this transfer RNA (87 nucleotides) under Aeriscardovia sp. RNAcentral describes it as "tRNA-Ser". It matches the Rfam family "tRNA". Rfam says of the family: Transfer RNA (tRNA) molecules are approximately 80 nucleotides in length. Their secondary structure includes four short double-helical elements and three loops (D, anti-codon, and T loops). Lineage: Bacteria; Bacillati; Actinomycetota; Actinomycetes; Bifidobacteriales; Bifidobacteriaceae. The record is from RNAcentral.